RNAcentral lists this microRNA (18 nucleotides) under Gallus gallus (chicken). RNAcentral describes it as "microRNA Ros-gga". The record is from RNAcentral. Lineage: Eukaryota; Metazoa; Chordata; Aves; Galliformes; Phasianidae.
ACCGGCAGCAGCGAAGGC